CAGCGCCGCCGCCUCUUGUGGCCAAACCACCCACUCCACCAAUUGCCAAGCCGCCAACUCCACCACUUACCAAGCCAUCACCACCAAUUCACAAGCUCCCUACUCCUCCUUGCCCCCACCACCCCCACAGCCACCAAGCCACCAACUCCACCACUUACCAAGCCAUCACCACCAAUUCACAAGCUCCCUACUCCUCCCCUUGCCAAGCCACCAACUCCACCACUUACCAAGCCACCAACUCCACCACUUACCAAGCCAUCACCACCAAUUUACAAGCCACCUGCUCCUCCACUUACCAAGCCACCAUCUCCUCCGCUUGCCAAGCCACCAUCUCCUCCGUAUACCAAGCCAACUCCUGUCAUCCCACCAGUGAAGCCAC
Molecule: long non-coding RNA, 379 nt
Filed under: Malus domestica (apple)
Lineage: Eukaryota; Viridiplantae; Streptophyta; Magnoliopsida; Rosales; Rosaceae
Description: long non-coding RNA (MDOM_LNC007865)
Source: RNAcentral